This 607-nucleotide ribosomal RNA is filed under the name uncultured Hydrogenobacter sp. RNAcentral's name for it is "bacterial SSU rRNA". It matches the Rfam family "Bacterial small subunit ribosomal RNA", at positions 94 to 677 of the family's 1533-position model. Lineage: Bacteria; Pseudomonadati; Aquificota; Aquificia; Aquificales; Aquificaceae. The record is from RNAcentral.
AGCGGCAAACGGGUGAGUAACACGUGAGUAACCUGCCCUCAGGAAGGGGAUAACCCUCCGAAAGGGGGGCUAAUACCCUAUAAUGUCAGUCACCACUAAGGUGGCUGACCAAAGGUGGCCUCUGCUCUGCAUGCUACCGCCUGAGGAGGGGCUCGCGGCCCAUCAGGUAGUUGGUGGGGUAACGGCCUACCAAGCCUAUGACGGGUAGCCGGCCUGAGAGGGUGUCCGGCCACAGUGGGACUGAGACACGGCCCACACCCCUACGGGGGGCAGCAGUGGGGAAUCGUGGGCAAUGGGCGAAAGCCUGACCCCGCGACGCCGCGUGGAGGAAGAAGCCCUUCGGGGUGUAAACUCCUGUCAGGGGGGAAGAUGCUCACAGAGGUGAAUAAUCUCUGUGGGUGACGGUACCCCCAGAGGAAGGGACGGCUAACUACGUGCCAGCAGCCGCGGUAAUACGUAGGUCCCGAGCGUUGCGCGAAUUCACUGGGCGUAAAGCGUCCGCAGCCGGAUGGGUAAGCGGUUCGUCAAAGCCCACCGCUCAACGGUGGAAAGGCGUACCGAACUGCCCAUCUUGAGGCACGCUCAGGCAGGCGGAAUUCCCGGUGUA